AUGAAAAGUUGGAGGAUGUCCCAGGAUGAGAACAUAGAUAUGGUACACCUGCUUGUCAAGAUUCUAACGUUAAUGUCCCACUUCCAGGAACAUGAAGAUGGACUGGUUUCACAUGCAGAUGUUGCAGCAUCUGCAUCUGAUUCAACAUUUUUGACUGCAGUUGCAAGUGUUUGCUGUGCACUACAUCUUCAACCUGCAGUAUCAAGAGGCGGCUUGUUGCACGUUAGAGUUUUUUCAAAGAUGAUUCUAUGGAAUAAACCCAGAAAGAGGCUCAAAGACCUGCCGAGGCAAGGUAGUCUCCAAAGGUUGCCACUCUACAAAAAAAAUUUAAUGGACUUCAAAUGGGACUUCAUCUAGACUACACCCCUCCCUGGCUACACUUGCAUCAGAGUUGGUGACAGUUUUAUGCUUCUGAAACGUUCUUGGACUGUUCUACAAAUCCUUGCCAGGUUUUGACUUAUUACACCAAAAUAAGAUUCUUGUUCAGAAGUUGUUUGCCAUUUCUUAAAGGCUGUUUUUAGGGGAAUGUACACUCCAAGCCCAUGCCCAUGCAUUGUCAUACUCAUAGCACUGAGCUAGACCUAAAAUGGCUGCUUGUUUUGUGUUUUAUAUGGUCAACUUAAAUUAGUUUAAAUAUGUCCACAGACUUCUGCAGGGUUCAUUUUGCACAUUGUCUGUUUUGUAAAUUGGUUAAUUUUCUUCUCUCUUCAUCUCAUCUUUCUCUAACACAUACAAAGACUGAUUCUUCCAUUUUGAUUGCUUAUUUUUUUUUUUUUGAGAAAGCAUUUGAAUUAUUGGUUGGGCACUUAAAUAAAUAGUGUUCUAUAAGAAAUACCCCCUUGGUCUUCUCUUUUCUGUCUAUUUGCUGCCACUUUUUAGUAUAAAUGAAAUGCCAGUUUGUGAAUUUGUUAAAAUACAGAUAUUUUUUAUAAAGUUAAUGAUUGGCAAAAUUGCCAGUUCUACGGUUUAGAAAAAAAAAAAAAAAACUAGAAUACAGUAAUGAUCCUGAAAAAUUAAAACCUGAAACCCUGCUGCCAGUAUAUUACUGUUAAUUUACAAAAAAAGCUGUAAUUCAGAAAACUGUAAAAUAACGGUACACAGCUGGAAACCCUGCUGCCAGUAUAUUACCGUUAAUUUACAGAAAAGCUGUAAUUCUGGAAACUGUAAAAUAACGGUACACAGCUGGAAACCCUGCUGCCAGUAUAUUACCGUUAAUUUACAAAAAAGCCGUAAUUCAGAAAACGGUAAUAAAACUGUAAAAUUACGGUACACUGCUGGAAACCCUGCUGCCAGUAUACUACCGUUAAUUUACAGGACAAUUUUUUACAGUGUGGUUAAGACUAUGAAUCUUCAUAAAUAUGGUCUUAUUUGGGAAUACUUUUAUGCUUUUACGGUACAGUGAUACUGCUUUGACACGAAAUAUAGGAUAGGAUUGUUGGAUUGUUGACUGGAUUAUAUGACUUAUAUUAUUACAUCAUCGCAUUUACAUAAAGAAUAUGAACAAAUAAUACAUUAUUACUAUAAAUGCAUAGUAAUUUCAUAGUGCAAUAU
Molecule: long non-coding RNA, 1551 nt
Organism: Carassius auratus (goldfish)
Lineage: Eukaryota; Metazoa; Chordata; Actinopteri; Cypriniformes; Cyprinidae
Source: Ensembl